RNAcentral lists this transfer RNA (74 nucleotides) under Deltaproteobacteria bacterium. Its description in RNAcentral is "tRNA-Val". It matches the Rfam family "tRNA". Rfam says of the family: Transfer RNA (tRNA) molecules are approximately 80 nucleotides in length. Their secondary structure includes four short double-helical elements and three loops (D, anti-codon, and T loops). Further hydrogen bonds mediate the characteristic L-shaped molecular structure. tRNAs have two regions of fundamental functional importance: the anti-codon, which is responsible for specific mRNA codon recognition, and the 3' end, to which the tRNAs corresponding amino acid is attached (by aminoacyl-tRNA synthetases). tRNAs cope with the degeneracy of the genetic code in two manners: having more than one tRNA (with a specific anti-codon) for a particular amino acid; and 'wobble' base-pairing, i.e. permitting non-standard base-pairing at the 3rd anti-codon position. The record is from RNAcentral. Lineage: Bacteria; Pseudomonadati; Myxococcota; Myxococcia.
AGGCGCGUAGCUCAGUUGGUUAGAGCGCUACCUUGACAUGGUAGAGGUCGCUGAUUCAAGUUCAGUCGCGCCUA